Molecule: non-coding RNA, 113 nt
Organism: Acanthosepion pharaonis
Lineage: Eukaryota; Metazoa; Mollusca; Cephalopoda; Sepiida; Sepiidae
Source: the annotation of a GenBank genome assembly
UUACGGCUAUAUCACGUUGAAACACUUAUUUUCGUACGAUCACCGAAGUUAAGCAACGUUGAAGGUGAUCAGUACCUAGAUGGGGGAUUGCCGAGAAAUACCAGGUGUUGUAA